UAAUUUGAAGAGAUUUGGGUCCGGCCGGCNGGGGUUAAGUCCACUGGAAAGUGGCGCCACAGAGGGUGACAGCCCCGUGAACCCCYUYAACGCCYUCAUCCCAGAUCUCCAAGAGUCGAGUUGUUUGGGAAUGCAGCUCUAAGUGGGUGGUAAAUUCCAUCUAAAGCUAAAUACCGGCGAGAGACCGAUAGCGAACAAGUACAGUGAUGGAAAGAUGAAAAGCACUUUGAAAAGAGAGUGAAAAAGUACGUGAAAUUGUUGAAAGGGAAGGGCUUGCAAGCAGACACUUAACUGGGCCAGCAUCGGGGCGGCGGGAAACAAAACCACCGGGGAAUGUACCUYUCGAGGAUUAUAACCCCGGUCUCAAUUUCCUNGNNGCCCCGAGGCCUGCAAUCUAAGGAUGCUGGCGUAAUGGUUGCAAGUCGCCCGUCUU
Molecule: ribosomal RNA, 433 nt
Filed under: Metschnikowia pulcherrima
Lineage: Eukaryota; Fungi; Ascomycota; Pichiomycetes; Serinales; Metschnikowiaceae
Description: eukaryotic LSU rRNA
Rfam family: Eukaryotic large subunit ribosomal RNA
Source: RNAcentral